Molecule: long non-coding RNA, 499 nt
Organism: Sinocyclocheilus rhinocerous
Lineage: Eukaryota; Metazoa; Chordata; Actinopteri; Cypriniformes; Cyprinidae
Exons: 4
Source: RefSeq, a predicted model, not a curated record
GGUCUAUGUUUUGAGAUGAACUUUUAGUAAUGGCGUUGCUGCGGUAAUUAGUUUCGCAUUCGCAAAAGAAUGGACGUUUGAGAACCUUUAAUGAAACCUAAAUUCAAGAAAUUCAUUUGGUCUCGUUAUUUUUUUUAAAGGCGGGACUCGGUUCCUAAUGAGGACGAAAAGCAGGACUUUUGUGGACUCAAGCAGACCAGUUUGUGGAAAGCUAAUGAGGGUCUGGCCGACAGAGCACUGGACCCUGGAGAGACGACAUUGUGAAUACAAGCUUCUCUUGUGUGUAUAAUCAGUCAGACCCAGGAAAAGUCUGAAGAGAACCAGGACCGCAGUUCCCGGUAGGAGUCCUGAUGCAUGAGCUUUACACCUCUAAUGACCAAUUCACCUUCUGACAGAGCAGACCAGCUCUGACGGCAUGGCAGAUCCAGAGAUACGUCUCCCGUAGCAACGGAAGAGCUUUAAAGUCCAACCGUGGCUUUGUCACCCUGUCAAAUCACCG